ACUUCAAGAAUUCCAAAUCGGUGGUUUAUUGAGUUUUCCAAAAAUCAACACAAUAUGCUAACUAUACAUGAAUUAUAUAACUACUCAUAUUUUCUUUUUUGAACAAAACUGACAGUAUUACAAAACAGGAAUGCAUUAUUUUUGAGAUUUCUGUCUUGAGAUGAUUAUUUGACACACACAUCACUUUAAACUCUGUUUUUUUCUUUUCUGGAACAUAUUUAAAAAGAACGAUAGGGAGCAACCAGAGAAAUAAAAGACAUAAAGAAAGAUGGCUGUAAUUGUACUAUCCUGAGAUUUGCUUAGCCCAAAAGUCUGCCUAUUAUGCUGGUUUCACAGGAUUGCCGCCGUCUCUCUGCAGGAAACAUAAAAUCUGAUCAAGUUCACAGACGCACUGAGAGACUGCUUCAAGCAGCGCUUUAUAACUUCAGUCUUUUCACAUCUUUUCUCCCAAUCAGUCCCAAGAAAGACUCCACAUUCUUUAUUUUUGAGUUUUUGCAAAAAGCUGCAGUUAAAAUGUCUUCUUCAAGUUCUUCAUAAAAUCUUCAAUCAAAAUAGUCAAAUGCCCCACAUUUAUCCAUCAGAUAUUGAAAAAUCUUAUAAGAGAGGCAAAAGUCUGAUAACCAUUAUCCAUGUGGACAUGAGCCUUAAAUAUCCAAGUCUAGUGCUGCCAUUUUGGAUUCUUUGCAAACAGGAAACCUGAAAGAAAAACUUCAGUUUACUGGCUGGAAUGACAACUGACUGCAAGGUUUAUUACCUGUCAAAUAAAAAGUAAAUGAUGCAGCUACAGUACCUGUAUUAACGGUAAAUUAAUACCAGGCAAAGUGCAUGCAUAUUAAUC
Long non-coding RNA from Protopterus annectens (West African lungfish), 838 nucleotides. RefSeq lists it as uncharacterized. The transcript is spliced from 3 exons. NCBI's taxonomy places the organism in Eukaryota, Metazoa, Chordata, Ceratodontiformes, Protopteridae. The record is from RefSeq and is a predicted model, not a curated record.